RNAcentral lists this ribosomal RNA (255 nucleotides) under uncultured bacterium. RNAcentral describes it as "partial 16S ribosomal RNA". It matches the Rfam family "Bacterial small subunit ribosomal RNA", at positions 1247 to 1500 of the family's 1533-position model. The record is from RNAcentral.
AAGCGAGCCGGUGACGGUGGGCGAAUCCCAAAAAUAAACGUCCCAGUUCGGAUUGUAGUCUGCAACCCGACUACAUGAAGCUGGAAUCGCUAGUAAUCGCGGAUCAGAAUGCCGCGGUGAAUACGUUCCCGGGUCUUGUACACACCGCCCGUCACACCAUGGGAGUCGGAAAUGCCCGAAGUCUGUGACCGAAUCGAAAGGGAGGAGCAGCCGAAGGCAGGUCGGAUGACUGGGGUGAAGUCGUAACAAGGUAUC